CCUUGGGGUAAGGAGAAAGAUCCCUUAUAUCAUAAAGAAACGCAAGUUUUGCCCUUAGAAGAGCUAAUCUCGUGUAAUGUAGUAGUUAAAGUAAAGGUUUAACUAGCUUUAUAUACGUAGUCGAAACUGAAAGGUUGAUCGACCACAGUGGGCCUGAAGAAAGCCCACGAUGAUUAUUACAGCAGUGAGGAAUAUUGGUCAAUAGCCUAAAGGCUGAACCAGCAACUUGGAGGAAUGAAUAGUGAAAGCUAAUUGUAUUACAUAAUACAAUAUCGAUUUAAUCGAAUAAAAUUCUGGGUAGAAUUAUGAUGAUGACAUUGUUUACCUAUAUUUCUUGACCAAAUUACGUGCCAGCAGUCGCGGUAAUACGUAAAAGAUCAGUGUUAUUCAUCUUUAAUGGGUUUAAAGGGUACCUAGACAGCAAGCCAAGCCUACCUAAGGCACUAGUUUGCUAGAGUUACUAAUGAGGGGGCACAAAAGUACUGCUGGUGUAGAGAUGAAAUUCGAUGAUACCUUUUUUCGAGAGAAAAAUAAUGGCACAGGUUUAGGCAAAAGCAUCCCCUUAUGAGAUAACUGACGUUGAAGGACGAAGGCUUUGUGUAGCGAACAGGAUUAGAUACCCUGAUAGUCGAAGCAGAAAAUGAUGAGUGUCAUAGAUUAGAUAUAAAUUUAUUCUAUAAAUGAAAGUGUAAGCACUCCACCUCAAGAGUAAUUUGGCAACAUUGGAACUGAAAUCAUUAGACCGUUUCUGAAACCAGUAGUGAAGUAUGUUGUUCAAUUAGAAAGCACGCAAAAAACCUUACCACAAUUUGAAUAUUUAUAUUUAGCAAGCAAACCAGACGGAUAUAUUUACAAGCGUUGCACGGCUGUCUUCAGUUAAUGUCGCGAGACUUUGGUUAGUUCCAUUAAAUUAACGUAAACCCUUACUUUAUUUUUACAUAAAGUAGUUCCCCGCUACACUGGAUAUGAUAACAGGGAUCAAGGCAAGUCAUCAUGACCUAUAUAUUGUGGGCUAUAGACGUGCUG
RNAcentral lists this ribosomal RNA (1026 nucleotides) under Cheiromycina petri. RNAcentral describes it as "SSU rRNA". It matches the Rfam family "Bacterial small subunit ribosomal RNA", at positions 129 to 1227 of the family's 1533-position model. Lineage: Eukaryota; Fungi; Ascomycota. The record is from RNAcentral.